GAUGAACGCUGGCGGCGUGCCUAAUACAUGCAAGUCGAGCGAACAGAUGAGGAGCUUGCUCCUCUGACGUUAGCGGCGGACGGGUGAGUAACACGUGGAUAACCUACCUAUAAGACUGGGAUAACUUCGGGAAACCGGAGCUAAUACCGGAUAAUAUAUUGAACCGCAUGGUUCAAUAGUGAAAGACGGUUUUGCUGUCACUUAUAGAUGGAUCCGCGCCGCAUUAGCUAGUUGGUAAGGUAACGGCUUACCAAGGCAACGAUGCGUAGCCGACCUGAGAGGGUGAUCGGCCACACUGGAACUGAGACACGGUCCAGACUCCUACGGGAGGCAGCAGUAGGGAAUCUUCCGCAAUGGGCGAAAGCCUGACGGAGCAACGCCGCGUGAGUGAUGAAGGUCUUCGGAUCGUAAAACUCUGUUAUUAGGGAAGAACAAAUGUGUAAGCAACUAUGCACGUCUUGACGGUACCUAAUCAGAAAGCCACGGCUAACUACGUG
Molecule: ribosomal RNA, 497 nt
Filed under: uncultured bacterium
Lineage: Bacteria
Description: partial 16S ribosomal RNA
Rfam family: Bacterial small subunit ribosomal RNA
Source: RNAcentral